RNAcentral lists this ribosomal RNA (226 nucleotides) under uncultured bacterium. Its description in RNAcentral is "partial 16S ribosomal RNA". It matches the Rfam family "Bacterial small subunit ribosomal RNA", at positions 538 to 763 of the family's 1533-position model. The record is from RNAcentral.
GCGUUGCUCGGAAUGACUGGGCGUAAAGGGCGCGUAGGCGGCUUGUACAGUCAGGCGUGAAAUUCCUGGGCUCAACCUGGGGACUGCGUUUGAGACGUAUAGGCUUGAGUGAGGAAGAGGGUCGUGGAAUUCCCAGUGUAGAGGUGAAAUUCGUAGAUAUUGGGAAGAACACCGGUGGCGAAGGCGGCGACCUGGUCCUUGACUGACGCUGAGGCGCGAAAGCGUG